UACAGAGGUCUCAAGCGUUGUUCGGAUUCAUUGGGCGUAAAGGGUGCGUAGGCGGCGCGGUAAGUCGGGUGUGAAAUCUCGGGGCUUAACUCCGAAACUGCAUUCGAUACUGCCGUGCUUGAGGACUGGAGAGGAGACUGGAAUUUACGGUGUAGCGGUGAAAUGCGUAGAUAUCGUAAGGAAGACCAGUGGCAAAGGCGGGUCUCUGGACAGUUCCUGACGCUGAGGCACGAAGGCCAGGGGAGCAAACGGG
RNAcentral lists this ribosomal RNA (253 nucleotides) under uncultured bacterium. RNAcentral's name for it is "partial 16S ribosomal RNA". It matches the Rfam family "Bacterial small subunit ribosomal RNA", at positions 524 to 776 of the family's 1533-position model. The record is from RNAcentral.